GGUAGUCCACGCCCUAAACGAUGCGAACUGGAUGUUGGGUGCAAUUUGGCACGCAGUAUCGAAGCUAACGCGUUAAGUUCGCCGCCUGGGGAGUACGGUCGCAAGACUAAAACUCAAAUGAAUUGACGGGGGCCCGCACAAGCGGUGGAGCAUGUGGUUUAAUUCGAUGCAACGCGAAGAACCUUACCUACUCUUGACAUCCAGAGAACUUAGCAGAGAUGCUUUGGUGCCUUCGGGAACUCUGAGACAGGUGCUGCAUGGCUGUCGUCAGCUCGUGUUGUGAAAUGUUGGGUUAAGUCCCGCAACGAGCGCAACCCUUAUCCUUUGUUGCCAGCGGUUAGGCCGGGAACUCAAAGGAGACUGCCAGUGAUAAACUGGAGGAAGGUGGGGAUGACGUCAAGUCAUCAUGGCCCUUACGAGUAGGGCUACACACGUGCUACAAUGGCGCAUACAAAGAGAAGCGACCUCGCGAGAGCAAGCGGACCUCAUAAAGUGCGUCGUAGUCCGGAUUGGAGUCUGCAACUCGACUCCAUGAAGUCGGAAUCGCUAGUAAUCGUAGAUCAGAAUGCUACGGUGAAUACGUUCCCGGGCCUUGUACACACCGCCCGUCACACCAUGGGAGUGGGUUGCAAAAGAAGUAGGUAGCUUAACCUUCGGGAGGGCGCUUACCACUUUGUGAUUCAUGACUGGGGUGAAGUCGUAACAAGGUAACCGUAGGGGAACCUGC
Molecule: ribosomal RNA, 727 nt
Filed under: uncultured bacterium
Lineage: Bacteria
Description: bacterial SSU rRNA
Rfam family: Bacterial small subunit ribosomal RNA
Source: RNAcentral